Mirounga angustirostris (Northern elephant seal) is the source of this 10044-nucleotide long non-coding RNA. RefSeq lists it as uncharacterized. The transcript has 3 exons. The record is from RefSeq and is a predicted model, not a curated record. NCBI's taxonomy places the organism in Eukaryota, Metazoa, Chordata, Mammalia, Carnivora, Phocidae.
UAAUCGUAAAGAUCUUAAUAAAUUCAGCCUGAUUAACUCCAACCUUGUGGGGGAAGGUUAUUCAGUGUUGUGGAAUUAAUUUUAAACAGAAGCCAGAAAAAGAAAAAGAAAAUUCAGAGCAAGGCAGAAAACAUCCAGCUCAGGAUGGGGAAGGUGGGAGGUUCAUGCGCAGGAAGCCAGAACCGGGGAGCGCCGGCUGGGGGUGGGCUGCUUCUGAGGUCACGCACGGUGGCCCUGAUGAGUAAUUCACUCUCGGGAAUCAGAGGAGCCUCAGGAGCGAUGGGACACAGGUUCCCCCUGGGACCUCUCCUCCGGUAUUGGGCUCAGGCCCCCCAACCCCAUGCCUGAGCCCCCUCACACCCCCUCUCCAGGUCAACUCAGCCCUGGACAAGCCCAUGCGAGGCUGAAGCAGGAAGCCAGGGCAGAGCCCAAGCGGGCGCGUGGGCAGAAUCCCAGAGCCUGGCAGCCUGCCCAUCGUGGUGCUUCUGGGGCGAGACACCCUCUCCAUCCCCGUCCUCCGGAUCUGCAGGCACCACAGUCGUUGGGGUCAUGCUCAAGGCUGGAGGCUGGAGGCUAGAGGCUGGAGGGCGGGUGAAGGCUGAGAUGCAGGGGCUGGCCUGGACGAGCCCUGCGUCCACCGGGAGGUUCCUGCCCUCCUCUGUGCUCCUACGGGAGCCGUGUCCUUGCUAUCCGCACCCCACGUUUGGUGUCACCCUGCCCACGGGCCCCCCGAGUCCAGCCUUGCGUCUGCACCCCCACCCUGACUACGGCGCCCCAAAUCCACUCUCCACGUGGCAGUGGGGGCUCCCUCCCCAGACCUCCUCGCAUAUCACCCAAACCCUUCUGCAUGCCGUGUAACCCCCACGACCGGCCCCACCUGACCCUCAGCCCCUCACCCACUCCCGCAUCCCGGGGGCUCCAGCCAGUGUCUCUCUCUCUCUCUCUCCCUCCCUCCAUCCUGGCAUUUUCAAAGGGCUGUUUCUGCCUGGCUGGCGAUGGUCCUCCUCCAAGUCAGCUCAAGUGUCCCCUCCCUGGAGGCCUUGCCCAGCAAGGGUCACAGGGAGCUGCAGAAACCUCAGGUCGGGGUUGUCGUUGUUUUAACCAAGGGUUAGGACCCACGGGCGACUGUGGAAUCGAUGAUCAGGUUGCAACCAGCAUUUUUAUAAAAAUACAAAGUUGCAUAGGUGAGGAAAAGUCUGAGGGAAUUCUACUCUGCAGGAGGAGAAGGAGACACCAGCGUCCGCACUCUGCCUGGUGACGGCACCACGAGAAGUUUGCCGUGUGCGAGCCUGGAUCUCAGACCCCCGGCCUCCGGCACCGCGAGGAAGCAAGCCGCCCGGUCCAGGGACUAAGGCAGCCCCCACGUUCCCAACCCGGCCCUCACGCAGCCGGCAAGAGUCGCGUCGUGGGUGUUGGUGGCCACAGGUGUGUCUGCAGGAACACUGCGGGGCACCCAUCUAGAGACAGCAGGCUGAGGCUCGGAGGGUGGGGACGGAAGCUGCUGGAUUUUACUGUAGCCCCACCGUAAGCUCCCGUUGGACCGGCCCAUGGCAGGUGGCACGUGCCUGGCCUUGGUGUUCCCACCGCAGCCUGUGUCUCCCGGGGGCCGUGGCGAGCCAGCCCCACGCACGCCCUGCUCCAGAUCUGACCUGCUGGCCCCUGAGAUGAGCACUUAGCCGCCUCCCAUAAACAAGGAUGUUCGUCUGCAUCGGCCCUAAUGAACAGCAUUUGUCAGACUGGACCCAGAGAGCAGUCGCAUUGGAGGAGACCAAAUGCUUCCUCCUCCACUCCCGACGUGGCAGCCCGGGCACAGCGGAGACCGUGGCAUCUAGCUGUGCAGGGGGCAGGGGGCCACCGGUCCUGGGGGCGCGUGCCCUGCAGAUGCCUGGGCGGGAACAGGGAGGCCCGCCCGGCGCAGCUCUGUCUGCAGCGGGAUUCAGACGCAGCCGUCCUUUCCGGCCCAGCCAACUCGCUUCCUUUUGGGAUUGUUCAGGGAGGACUCUGGGAAGCAAGCACAGCGCUGACGCAGAGCGGAUGCACUGACUCAGGGGCUGUGGGGCCCAGGGCACGCUGCAAGCAAGUGGGGCGGCCGCGGGGCUGCAUGCACGUGGUCAUCCGGGGAUGCAGAGGUGACCCGCGGCCUCUGCUUCCUGGCCCUGGUUCCCGUGCUUGCGGCUUUGUUCUCUCGCAGACAGGCUUCCCCAUCAGCGGGAAAUUUGGACAUGACUGCUCUCAGAUUUACCUCUAGGGGCUGCCACCCCUGGAAAGGGUUCAAUGGAAGCUUUUUCUGGGCCCAAACAAAAAAACAACAACCCAAAAACUCCCAGGAAAGAGCUGUGAUUGGCCAGCGCAGCUCGGGCAGCAUGGUCAUGGAUGGUGGGAGGCGUGGGGUCCCCCAGGGAAGCUCCCAGAGCAGCGGACAGUAAUUAAAGAGAAAUAUUACAUCGCUGCACCUGUUUUUCACUUUGGCUCACCACCGUGAGUAAGCCCAAUCUUUUAUUGAGGAGAAGAGACGCAAGCUGGAAAAUCAUAGGAGGAACAUCAAAACCCCUCCAGCCUUCCCUGGAGACGUGGAAGAAAUCCCAAAUUACGGAGCCAUAUGGAGGGCGCACGGCGAGCGGCGGUGCCCACGGCGGGGCCGGGCUCUCGGCUCCUCCAAAGGGUCAGGGCCUGCCCGGGGCAAGGAUGCCGCGGCGGACGGGUUGUCCACUGCGUCCUGUUUCUGCUCCUUCUGCCCCGGCCCGAAUUCGCGCUCCCGAGAGAGGGGGUGAGAGCGGCCAGGGAAGCCGAGCGGGUCCAGUCCAGCAGCUCUGGGCCUCAGGUGGGCCUCAGCCUUCCCGGCCAGUGCCCCCCACGCUGCUCAGGGGCUUCAGCCGCAGGGACCCACAAGGCCGGGGCAGACAGCACCAGAGAGCAGAUGUUUGCCAGGCACUUCACAGUUUACUCUUGGCCCCUGAGCAUGAUUCUGUUCUCCCGAGAAGCCCCAGCAGGGAUCCUGCUACAGCGGCCGCCCCGGGGGCUCGGGUUCCUGCGUGGGUCCCCGGUGCCGCCCACUCGGCCCACCCCGAAGUUCCAGCUCUCUUCCGAGGACCCGCUUCUGUUUAUAAAACCCACCGGCGGCCCGGGUCAGCCCCUCCCUCCUGCAAAGGGGCCGUAUGUCAAAAUAAAGUCCCACUCGGAGAGGAACAGAGCGGUAAUGGGAGGCAGCGGACCCUGACCGGGGACUUGGCGCACAUUUUCUAGACACAGACGAGCCCAUGGACUUAACUCCCUGAUGCACCUUGGGUCCCCCGGGCCCCCGCCGAGCCUGGCUGCGCACCUAUCACGCGGGCGCCUGAUUACACGUGCUGACCUGUAACCCCCACCCCCAGGAGACCACCGUCCUCACCAUUGGACACACGGCCCCGUGGCUCAGAGGAGGUGCCCUGGAGCGGUUUCUGCUGGAACAUUCCGGGGCUGAGACCCCCCUUGUGAUUUAUGACUUCUACCACGUGACUGCUGCCGGAGGCCCCUGGAGACGCAGGGAUGGGGGCCGAGCCACGUUCCCCGUCCCCAGUCACCGACUCCCAACUCCAGGGAGCGCCUCCCAAGCAGCGACGUUAAGGGUUCCAGAAGAGGUGAGAGGGCCAGCCUCCGCGUGGCUGAGUCCUCACAGAGACCUGUCCUGGUGCGGGGAGGACCCAGUCCUGGAAGCCAGGCAGUGUCAGUUACUCACAUCGGUCCUCCGAGUGACACCGUCUCUGGGGCACCAGCCCCCCGCCCCCGCCCCCCAGGCUUUGUAAGGUCCCGCCGUCCGGUCCAGUUGACCACGGUUUUCACCUGCCUUCAGCCCUGAAGUCCUUGCCGUUCUUCCUGUCCCCCACCCAGAGACGGCCCUGUGAUGCACAGAAUCGCGGCCCCCCAGAGAUGCCCACAUCGUGCUCUCGGAUGCACUGCAGAGGGGGGUCGCCGAUGCCAAUCAGCUCGCUGUGCGGCCCGAAGGCUACUCUGCACAUCCCGCGUGGACCCGAUGUGAUCACGGGGUCCUGGAAGGCAGAGCGGGAACUGCAGGAGACAACCAGACACGUGGCUGUGUGGGAAGGACACGAGCCACCGUCCCGGCUUUGAAGACGGAGGUCGGGGUGCUGCAGUCCUCGAGCCAGGCAUCAGGGGCCGUGCUGGCUGGGGCUACGGCUCAGAGCGCCCUGGGCUGGGCCCCUUGGACUCACGAUGGCUUGCCACGUGUCCUUUGCACUCCCAGGAAGCAAGGCGGGCUGGGGUGGAGGGAUCCUGGGGCAUUCCUGGGCUGGGCAGGUAGGCACUUCGGGCAGCCGGAAGCCGGCAGAGCCAUGAACCGUGUCCCAGAGAUCACUGGGGCCGCAUCCAAGGAAACGGGAUGUCAGCAGGUCCCGAGGACUUCGGGGGGCUGGGGGGGACCACAGAGAGAGGCAGGAGAAGCUUGGACAGACUGGCCCCGUUAAGCCUCUGUUGGGAGGGAGUCCCCUCCCCUGUGGAUAUUCCGCAGGUGGCCGUCUGCAGCCCCAGCCCGUCGGCAGAGACACCCUCCCCCGCCCCGGGGACCCCCAUCGUGGCAGCUGCGUGGAGCUGAGGUUCAGUCUGUGGCUCAGGCCUUGAAUCUAACUGAUUGUGACUGGCUCGCCCACCUCUGAUCACAGAGCUGACCCACUUUGAAAGUUUGCCGUUUUCAGCACCAGUGCGUGGCCGGGGGGAACGGCUUGGCCAAAUGUAUUAAUAACCUCAAAUAUAUUCAAAUCUUCUGACUCGGUAAUUGUCCCUGUGGGAGUCCAGCCUCGGGGCGUCGCCGGGGAUGUGGACAAAGACUUUGCUCUAAGAAGUUCCUCACAACACAAUUUCGAGUAGAAAGUAACCGGCAAAUGGCUUAGAUGUUCAACAAAGGAAAAACGGCUUUUAGGGGAAAAUCCCUGCAGUGAAAUAUUUUGCAGCUGCUGAAAGGGACGGCCGAGGCAUUUUUCCGGGGACAAAAAUACCCACGACAUAAAAUUGCAUUAAGAAAAAAAAAAAGAUUGCCUGAGUUGGGGAGUUUGGAUGCUGGCUACUUUCUUUGUUGCAUUUUUCUCAAUUUCUAUAAUUUCCACCACGAUCACAUGCUUCUUGUAGAACCAGGAGGAGAGGGAGAACGGCCUCCUUGGGGCCCCGAGGACGCUGGUCUCCCAAAGCCCGUGUCCCUCGGCAGCUUGGCUGGGUUUUCCGGAGCCACGCACUCCCCGUCGGCCCUUACCUGGCACGCCCAGGGGGAUGUUUGUGUUUGGCUCUAAUUCCAAAUCCCAGUAAAACCCACAGCUGCUUCUCAGUUCUCGUCCCCACAGCAGCAAACCCGCCCCCCACGCUGCUGAUUCUCUUCUGCAUUACCAGUCUCUCUCUGCACACAGAUACUAAAUAUAUUUUAAUGGAUCCAGGCUGUUACUGGUGCAGCCAGCCCAAGACUGGGACGGCUAGAGGCACGGCCAGCUGAGUUCUCAAACCCUCAAUCCAGUACUCCCCAGCCUCUACAGAAGGGGGGACGUGAAUCCAGUCCAGGCUUGAAAAUUGUCCCAGUUGGGCUAGAAAAGCUAAUCCAGCCUGGCAUCAACAAUAACGGAGUCUUAUGGUCUCACUGAAACAAAACUUCCCGAGGAAUCAGGCUUCAGGCACAGCUCGAUCCAGACGUUCUUGGUGGCCUCGGGGUCCUGGCACCAUUUCCUCUGCUGUCCCUUGGCUGUUUCAACCGUGGGGCUGCAGCCUCUGUCCACGGCAUCCUGUUCAGAUGAACAGAGGGUGCUGUUGUCCCCACCUCCCCUGCAUGGCCACUGGCAUUCGCUGUCCCUGGACCAGCUCAGCGCAGGUGCUCCCCCUGGACUGUGACCAGGGGACGGGAUGCACUGACUAUCUCAGGCCAUCAGGUGCCCGAACGGGAGCUGCGGGGGGAGUCUGUUUCUCCAGAAACAGCGUCCUUCCCCUUCCUGCGGGUAUUUAGACACCUGACAUCUGGAUCUUUUGCUAAAAAAAUAACAAUGUGCCUUUUUUACGAAACGCCCCAUUCCAGCAUCUAGAAGUUUCCUUCCUCCCCAGAGACCCAAGGAAAUGUGUUUUGAGCAGAAAUCCCCCCUCCAACUCUGUAGGGAGGUGUGGCCCGCGAGAGCCGCUCUGGCCUAGGUCUGGUGGCCAGGACCAGGGCACAGGAAGCCCCUUCCUCAUUUAGAGCAGGGCUCGGCACGCCACUGCCCGUGGGUCCAAUCCAGCACGCCACCUGCGUUCCUACUACCCACGAAAAUAGUUUCCACGUUUUUAUGUGUUGGCCAAAAAAAAAAAAAAUCAAAAGAGUAUUUCAUGACAUGUGAAAAUGAUACGAAAUGAAAAUUUCGGGCUCUGUCAAGGGUCCAGGGAAGCUUUAUGGAAACACAGCCAGGCUCGUGCAUUUGCCUAUUACCCACGUCUGCUCCCAAGCUGCCCAGAGAAGCCACAGUAGAUGUCCCUGACCUGCAGAGCCGGAAAUAUUUACUCUCUGGCCCUGCACAAUGUUUGCUAACCCCAGCUUUAGAUCUUUAAACUCGGCUGUGCUCGGAGAAGUCGGAUGAAUCGGUGACCUUUCUCUGUCUCUCGGGCUCCAGCGGAGACAGCCUCACGGGGCAGAACAAACAAGAGCCCCGUUCUCCGCCUGCUGAUGAGGACAGCCUCCCGAUGUGCAGCCCAUGAGAGGUUUCUGCCAAUCCUCAAGCCCAGCGCCAGGAGAAGAGACUCCCGCCUGGACAAGACGGCCCCGGAAAGGCGGGAGGUCCAGAAUCCGGUGCGUCCGUCUGCAUCAGGAGGCCCCGCACAUCCCGGCCCGAAGCCGCCCACCCUCCUCCCCGCUCAGGAAGCAGGAGACGUCCGUGGGCCCCUGACGUGCCCCUUACAGCUCCUGGACACCCCACACACUCCAGCCACCAACGGAAGCCACCAGCUUUUGAGAACUCAUUUGAAAUUGGACAAUAUGGAUGAAAUCAUCCCAUUUCUGCCCGAAUGCUUUUCUUUCUUACAGAAUAAAGCGGAAAGUUGAAGUUGCUCCUUCGAACUUGAAAGCCCCUCUUGAUGCAGAGUCCCGCCCAGGGCUUUGGGAGGUGUCCUCAGACUUGCCUGGGCUUUGGGGCCUCCCAGGUGGUCCGGAGUCACUCCGGAGAGGAGCCUGGGACGGCGUGGACAUGGACGGACUCGAGUGUGACCCCCGCAUCAGCCGUGCAGGCUCGAAGAUGUAACUGCCCUCUCGGAGCCUGGGGUUCUUCCUCUGCAGAAUGAGAACAUGCAGAGCAUGCCUCCAAGGAAUUCGGGGGAUGGAAUAAAUGAUCGAAAGUUUAUGAGCAGAAGGAGCAGGCAUGACACGUCGUUAACCAAUAAGGAAACAACUGUGCAGGAAACACCUUGUUUCCCUGUGGGACGCGAGCCCUCUGGAAAUAGACAUGUAAACUUCGUGUUUUCUUAGCACCUUUGUUUAAAACUCCCCAGGACCAUCUGCUGUGCUUCCCCCAGCACACACCGGUGACAACAAACAAUAACAGAUCCGUUCACAGGCGCGGAGAGCCGACCAGGUGCCGGGACCGGGCCUCGGCAGCCCCUGGAUUCUCACCAUGACCCUGCAAGGCAGGUGUUAGGACCGUGUCCCUCCAGUUUCCAGCGAAGGUCUGCAGCAUAGACGGGUGAACACUGCUAGCUAGCAGGUGUCAGAACUCAGACAAUCCAGUCCAGGGCCCACAGCCGCAUGGACAGACGAGGGAAUGAACCCCUGAGCACGUGAGUGCCUCACGUCCAGCGUGCUCAGGCUGAGGGCAGGUGCGGAAGCUUAGGGAAGGACAUGGCCAGGGCUGGCUCAUGACCCGGCGGAGGUCGCCAGGGGAGGCUGUGUCCAUCCAGAGCAUCGGCGAGGCGUGAGCUUCCUCCUGGCAACGCGGGCAAGUCCCAGGAGUGAGCCUCCCUGGAGAACAAGGCAGGGGGCGCGCAGGUCGAGCCCUUCUGCCACACUCUGGUCCAGGCGUCAUCAAGAGUUAUUACCAGGGUGGUCCUGGCCUCAUCAGGCGAGCCUCUUGAAAGAAGGUCACACGGUCGGAGUCGUCCCCCGCCCCCCACUGGCCUCGAAAGAGCAGGUGCCGUGAGCCUUGGGUGUAAGGAACACAUGAGGUGUAAGGAAACGGAUCCUGCCAUCAGCUGUACGAGCCUGGAGAAGAACGGCUGCCUCCCGGGAGGCCCAGCCCCCUGCGGACACCCUGAGGGAAGCUUCGCAAAGUCCUGGGCAGGGGACCCAGGGAAGCCAGCCGACCCCCGGGAGCCAUGUGAUCCCAAAUGCGUGUGUGGCUGUUUGUUGUGCAGACAUAGGGACCAUCUAGCCGCAAGCCCGCCCCGCUCCUGCCUGGCUUGAGCUGAGUGUCAACCCACGAGUGGGCCACACCCAGCAGCCCUCCCCAAGCUCGGCCGAUGCCCCCACCCGGCCCUGACCCUCGGCCCUUUGUCCUUCAUCCUCUAUGAAGUUGUCCCUUAUCCCCGACCAAAGGGACAGGCCCCUUGCUGACAAGUAACGGGGCGGCGGCACGUAAGAACCUGCCCCUCGCAGUGCUCCUCCAGGCUUCGGGCCACCUCGCCUGCGUACCCUUCUCCAGCCCGAGGAGAGGGCCUGCCUCCCACGGCCGCCCAUCUCUGGGCCACCCCAGCACCCGCCCCUUUGCCUUCUGAGCCCCCCCACAGCCAGGCCUUCCCGAGUUGGUCUGAGUGAGUCUCCGCUCCUUGCGACCUGGUGGCCUUUGUCCAUAGCAGAGGGGCUGUGACCUGUCCAGGGACUGUGACGGACGCAGCCGAGAUCUGAAUAAGUGUGUCCAGGCUUCUUGCUCCAAGACCAACACCCACUGCACUGCCCGGGAAUCGUGCAGACCAAGAAGGAGUUUGUGGAAUGGGCACACGGAUACGCCAAGGGCCACGGCGCCCUGUAACAUGCUCUGACCCCCAUCCCUUGGGCCAGUGGGUUAACCCCUUGCUGCCUGCAGGAUGUGAAAGGACCUAUCUUGCAACCAAAUACCCAGACUCGAGGCUCCUGUCCAGACCCCCCCCCCCCCCCACACACACACACCCUGGUCUGCAAUUUCCUCUGAACAGAGAUGCGUUAGCCUUUUACGGGAAGAUUAGUCUUCCCAGCUGGUGACGGGCACCAAAUGAGAGGCGAGGUGUUCUGGCUUCUCUCCACCAUCUGUUAACACGACCCUGAGCCAACCUCAGGUUCUGCUUCCCGCUUGGCUUUUUCGGAACGGGGCUGCCAACGCCUUGACUGCUUUUCUCCCCGCCGUGUGCUCCCGUAUGCCCGCUCACGCUCCCGCCUCCUGGGGGAGGCGAUGGGGUGACGUGCACCUGCCAGCUGAGCACUGAUCCAGAGACGUGGCCGGAACCAGCCUCGGGAGCGGUCUCCGGGUCCCUUCUUACUUUGUGGGCUUCUGUUCAGGUAUCAUCUCCUUUAGGGCCAUUAGGGCUGAGUUGGAGUCAAAAAGAUGGCCCCUUAUUAGUGCACAAAUACGACCUGACAAAUUCAACAGACAUCUCUGUGGAGACUCGGGAGGGACCCAGAUCCAGUCACGGAGUGGGGUCUGACAUCGAAGCCCAACGCUCAGGAGAGACCGGGGGGUGGGGGCCGCCACCCCGCCCAGCCCGCGGCACCUGCUCGGUCUCCUUCGCGCACUUCCUGAGAGACAUGAAACAGACAUCACCGUCUGGGGCAAUUACUUGUUUUCAAGCCAUUUUACACCACAGACCUGACAAGAGCCAAGAGAGAAAGGAAAUCCAAUCCCUCCUGAUGUCUCUACGGAAGAUUAACCGCCUCCAAGAAAUUAGGGAAGUGUCUUCGUAACCGUGACUUAAAGAUACUGCUAUUCAGUAUGUUAAUGAAAAAUCCAUUGAUGUCUGGCAUUUAUCAGGUGUCAAAAAUUAAAUUUAGCCGUCCUGUGAUUUUAAUUAGUGCGAACCCGGUUAAGCCGGCAGGUAGCUGUCUGACUCAGGCAGGCGCCUCCAUCCGCACACCCCUCACGGGCUGACACG